This 41-nucleotide transfer RNA is filed under the name Oreasteridae sp. C3. Its description in RNAcentral is "partial tRNA-Leu". The record is from RNAcentral. Lineage: Eukaryota; Metazoa; Echinodermata; Asteroidea; Valvatida; Oreasteridae.
GUAGAUCCUAAAUCUAAAGCAGUACCCCUUUGCUACCAUAA